UACAGAGGGGGCAAGCGUUGUUCGGAAUUACUGGGCGUAAAGGGCGUGUAGGCGGUCUGUUAAGUCUGGCGUGAAAGCUCUCGGCUAAACCGGGAGAGGUCGUUGGAUACUGGCAGACUAGAGGACGGUAGAGGCGUGUGGAAUUCCGGGUGUAGUGGUGAAAUGCGUAGAGAUCCGGAGGAACACCAGUGGCGAAGGCGACACGCUGGGCCGUACCUGACGCUAAAGCGCGACAGCAUGGGGAGCAAACGGG
RNAcentral lists this ribosomal RNA (253 nucleotides) under uncultured bacterium. Its description in RNAcentral is "partial 16S ribosomal RNA". It matches the Rfam family "Bacterial small subunit ribosomal RNA", at positions 524 to 776 of the family's 1533-position model. The record is from RNAcentral.